AACUAAGUUUGUUCUGGGUAUAAGCUUUUGUGUGCAUGCACACUUCUUCAUCUGAUGUGUGUAUCUGAAGAAGUGUGCAUGCACAUGAAAGCUUAUACCCAGAACAAACUUAGUCGG
Non-coding RNA from Podarcis lilfordi (Lilford's wall lizard), 117 nucleotides. The record is from the annotation of a GenBank genome assembly. NCBI's taxonomy places the organism in Eukaryota, Metazoa, Chordata, Lepidosauria, Squamata, Lacertidae.